Long non-coding RNA from Leopardus geoffroyi (Geoffroy's cat), 348 nucleotides. RefSeq lists it as uncharacterized. The transcript has 3 exons. The record is from RefSeq and is a predicted model, not a curated record. NCBI's taxonomy places the organism in Eukaryota, Metazoa, Chordata, Mammalia, Carnivora, Felidae.
UCAGCAGGAUUCACACUUCCGACCUAGAAUACAGGCACAGACAAUAAACCUGAAGAUCGCUUCUGUUUCUGGCAGCACCCCAGGCAACACAAGAUGGCUUAAUGUGUGGGAUAAAAGGACCGAAGCAAUCGUUACAGCCUCACAAACAAGAACUGAAACUUUUUAUUACUUGACAUCUUUCCCAUUGGCCACUUGCCUUUUUCCCUUUGAGAAGUAAAGAAAAGAAGACAAAAGGAUGGGGACGAGGAAACAUUAAAAGGGAAAAACACUAUAAUGAAAAGUACCAUGAGCAUAUCAACUACUCAUCUACUGUCUUCCAAAAACACAAACUAACUUAGACUGUGGUGA